AGCUCCAAUAGCGUAUAUUAAAGUUGCUGCAGUUAAAAAGCUCGUAGUUGCAUUUCCGAGGCAAGGGAUUAGUCCGACCUUUGGUGGGUAUUUAAUCCUCUUGCCUCGUCCUUGAGUGGUGCUUCUUGGUAUUAAGUUAUCGAGGAGAUAGCCGCUCAUCGUUUACUGUGAGAAAAUUAGAGUGUUCAAAGCAGGCUUAUGCCGUUGAAUAUAUUAGCAUGGAAUAAUAAGAUAGGACCUCGGUACUAUUUUGUGGGUUUGGGAACCAAGGUAAUGAUGAAUAGGGACAGUUGGGGGUAUUCGUAUUCAGUUGUCAGAGGUGAAAUUCUUAGAUUUACGGAAGACGAACUACUGCGAAAGCAUUUACCAAGGAUGUUUUCA
RNAcentral lists this ribosomal RNA (381 nucleotides) under uncultured marine Chaetocerotaceae. Its description in RNAcentral is "SSU rRNA". It matches the Rfam family "Eukaryotic small subunit ribosomal RNA", at positions 587 to 972 of the family's 1831-position model. The record is from RNAcentral. Lineage: Eukaryota; Bacillariophyta; Thalassiosirophyceae; Chaetocerotales; Chaetocerotaceae.